Molecule: ribosomal RNA, 200 nt
Filed under: uncultured Bacillota bacterium
Lineage: Bacteria; Bacillati; Bacillota
Description: uncultured Firmicutes bacterium partial 16S ribosomal RNA
Rfam family: Bacterial small subunit ribosomal RNA
Source: RNAcentral
CGUCAAAUCAUCAUGCCUUUAUGACCUGGGCUACAAACGUACUACAAUGGCCAGAUACAAAGAGAUGCGAAGCCGCGAGGUGGAGCGAACCUCAUAAAAAUGGUCUCAGUUCGGAUUGGAGUCUGCAACUCGACUCCAUGAAGUCGGAAUCGCUAGUAAUCGCGGGUCAGCAGACCGCGGUGAAUACGUUCCCGGGUUUU